CUAUGCGCCUUGCCAGCCCGCUCAGUCAGAGUUUGAUCCUGGCUCAGGACGAACGCUGGCGGCGUGCUUAACACAUGCAAGUCGAACGGAAAGGCCUCUUCGGAGGCACUCGAGUGGCGAACGGGUGAGUAACACGUGGGUGAUCUGCCCUGCACUCUGGGAUAAGCCUGGGAAACUGGGUCUAAUACCGGAUAGGACCAUGCUUUAGUGUGUGUGGUGGAAAGUUUUUUCGGUGUAGGAUGAGCCCGCGGCCUAUCAGCUUGUUGGUGGUAAUGGCCUACCAAGGCGGCGACGGGUAGCCGGACUGAGAGGUUGGUCGGCCACAUUGGGACUGAGAUACGGCCCAG
RNAcentral lists this ribosomal RNA (347 nucleotides) under uncultured bacterium. RNAcentral describes it as "bacterial SSU rRNA". It matches the Rfam family "Bacterial small subunit ribosomal RNA", at positions 1 to 334 of the family's 1533-position model. The record is from RNAcentral.